GACGAACGCUGGCGGCGUGCUUAACACAUGCAAGUCGAACGGAAAGGUCCGGCUCUUGUGGGGUGCUCGAGUGGCGAACGGGUGAGUAACACGUGAGUAAACCGCCCCUGACUGUGGGAGAACUCCAGGAAACUGGGGCGAAUAUCGGAGAGGAGCUCUUGAUGCAUGGUGGGGGUUGGUAAGUUUCGGCGGUUGUGGAUGGACUCGCGGCUUAUCCGCUUGUUGGUGGGGUAGUGGCUUACCAAGGCUUUGACGGGUAGCCGGCCUGGGAGGGUGACCGGCCACAUUGGGACUGCGAUACGGCCCAGUCUCCUACGGGAGGCAGCAGUGGGGAAUAUUGCACAAUGGGCGGAAGCCUGAUGCAGCAACGCCGCGUGCGGGAUGACGGCCUUCGGGUUGUAAACCGCUUUCGCCUGUGCCGAAGCGUGAGUGACGGUAAUGGGUAAAGAAGCCCCGGCUAACUACGUG
This 468-nucleotide ribosomal RNA is filed under the name uncultured bacterium. Its description in RNAcentral is "partial 16S ribosomal RNA". It matches the Rfam family "Bacterial small subunit ribosomal RNA", at positions 28 to 507 of the family's 1533-position model. The record is from RNAcentral.